CAAACGGGUGCGGAACACGUACACAACUUCCUUUUGGUGGGGGAUAGCCCAGAGAAAUUUGGAUUAAUACCCCGUAGUAUAACAACAGGGCAUCUUGUUGUUAUUAAAGAUUUAUUGCCAGGAGAUGGGUGUGCGUCUGAUUAGGUAGUUGGUAGGGGUAACGGCCCACCAAGCCAACGAUCAGUAACUGGUGUGAGAGCACGACCAGUCACACGGGCACUGAGACACGGGCCCGACUCCUACGGGAGGCAGCAGUAAGGAAUAUUGGUCAAUGGACGCAAGUCUGAACCAGCCAUGCCGCGUGGAGGAUGAAGGUCCUCUGGAUUGUAAACUUCUUUUAUCUGGGACAGAAAUGCAUUUUUUCUACAAGUGUUUGACGGUACCAGAUGAAUAAGCACCGGCUAACUCCGUGCCAGCCGCC
This 421-nucleotide ribosomal RNA is filed under the name uncultured bacterium. Its description in RNAcentral is "bacterial SSU rRNA". It matches the Rfam family "Bacterial small subunit ribosomal RNA", at positions 99 to 516 of the family's 1533-position model. The record is from RNAcentral.